CUUCACCGACCCCAGCCACAGCGGGUCCCCGGAGCGCCCGCGCCCGUAGGUGGCCAGCAGCGCGUGCGCCUC
Molecule: antisense RNA, 72 nt
Filed under: Actinokineospora bangkokensis
Lineage: Bacteria; Bacillati; Actinomycetota; Actinomycetes; Pseudonocardiales; Pseudonocardiaceae
Description: ASpks TB sRNA
Rfam family: ASpks TB sRNA
Source: Rfam by way of RNAcentral